Molecule: ribosomal RNA, 301 nt
Filed under: uncultured bacterium
Lineage: Bacteria
Description: partial 16S ribosomal RNA
Rfam family: Bacterial small subunit ribosomal RNA
Source: RNAcentral
CAGCAGCCGCGGUAAUACGAAGGGUGCAAGCGUUAAUCGGAAUUACUGGGCGUAAAGGGCCCGCAGGCGGUUUCUUAAGUCUGAUGUGAAAGCCCCCGGCUCAACCGGGGAGGGUCAUUGGAAACUGGGAAACUUGAGUGCAGAAGAGGAGAGUGGAAUUCCACGUGUAGCGGUGAAAUGCGUAGAGAUGUGGAGGAACACCAGUAGCGAAGGCGACUCUCUGGUCUGUAACUGACGCUGAGGAGCGAAAGCGUGGGGAGCGAACAGGAUUAGAUACCCGCGUAGUCCCUGUCUCUUAUAC